AGUUAUGAUCAUACCAGCACUAAUGCACCUGAUUCCAUGAGAACUCCGCAGAUAAGCGUGCUUAGGCGAGAGUACUACUAGGAUGGGUGACCUCUAGGGAAGACCUUGUGUUGCAUCUC
This 119-nucleotide ribosomal RNA is filed under the name Lupinus angustifolius (narrow-leaved blue lupine). Lineage: Eukaryota; Viridiplantae; Streptophyta; Magnoliopsida; Fabales; Fabaceae. The record is from RNAcentral.